GAAGUCCAGCCAGUGUACAGAUAUUUCCUUGUGGUAAAGAUAUGCAAAGUCAGCCUGUUGCUCGGCGGAGCUUUUUCCGAUGUUCUGCAGUGCAACUAAACUGGAAUCGUGGUUCAACUGGGCUUCUCAUUGUGGUGCAGUCAGAUGUUGACAAGACCAAUCAAAGUUAUUAUGGGGAGUCCAAGCUGAAUUACCUUACAACUGAUGGGACGUGCCUCUUCGCAAAGAGGGGCCUGUUCAUGACGUUCAGUGGUCAUAUUCUGGUUCAGAGUUUGCUGUUGUUUAUGGAUUCAUGCCGGCGAGUGCGACAUUGUUUGAUAAGAAGUGCAAACCUUUACUGGAGCUUGGGACAGGACCUUACAAUACUGUCAGAUGGAACCCAAAAGGGAAAUUUCUAUGCUUGGCUGGUUUUGGCAAUUUACCUGGUGAUAUGGCAUUUUGGGACUAUGUAAACAAAAAACAACUUGGAACAACUAGGGCUGAAUGUUCUGUGACUAGUGAGUGGUCCCCUGAUGGACUCUACUUCAUGACUGCGACUACAGCACCGAGACUACAAGUUGACAAUGGGAUUAAAAUUUUCCACUACAAUGGAUCAUUGUACUUCAAAAAGAUGUUUGACAAGCUAUACCAGGCUGAUUGGAAACCAGAAUCACCAGAUAGAUUUGGUGAAAUUGCAGAACUUGCAAAGUCGGUUGAUUCAUUGAAGGUUGAAGAAACCAAUCCACAAGGAAAAGGGGCAACCUCCAGAAAAAAGGCUUCUGACAAUCCUCCUGCUCAGAAACCUGCUGCCUAUCGCCCACCACAUGCUAAAAAUGCAGCUGCUGUUCAGGCAGAGUUGUUUGGAGGGAGCAGUACAGACCAAAUGAGCAAGAAUGCGCUAAAAAACAAGAAAAAAAGGGAUAAACAGAAGGAGAAGAAGGCUGCUGCCGCUGCUGAAGGCUCCUGAUUCGAUGCAGUUGUGCUGCAGGUGUCUCCUUAAACUGCACUCAAGAGGAUCAGAUCUGAUUGUAGAGUUGUUCUUUGAUUAGGGAUUUUGACUUUCUGAUGAGAGAUCUCGAGGUAAUCAAAUAGAAGCAUGUGUAUGUAAGCACAUUAAGGAUGCUUUCACAUGUAUUAAAAAUUUCAAUCUAGAAAUAGGGAUGUGCAUUUAGUCGGUUUGAUUUCAAAUCGAAGCAAAUUAAGAAAGGAGCC
RNAcentral lists this unclassified non-coding RNA (1191 nucleotides) under Hevea brasiliensis (rubber tree). The record is from RNAcentral. Lineage: Eukaryota; Viridiplantae; Streptophyta; Magnoliopsida; Malpighiales; Euphorbiaceae.